RNAcentral lists this non-coding RNA (72 nucleotides) under Nasonia vitripennis (jewel wasp). Lineage: Eukaryota; Metazoa; Arthropoda; Insecta; Hymenoptera; Pteromalidae. The record is from RNAcentral.
CUUUUAAUGCAGCCGUGAUAAUAAGCCAUCUGGCAUCACGACGGUCCCAAGCCCGAUAAUGCAGAGGGAAGA